This 245-nucleotide unclassified non-coding RNA is filed under the name uncultured fungus. Its description in RNAcentral is "partial contains 5.8S ribosomal RNA, internal transcribed spacer 2, and large subunit ribosomal RNA". The record is from RNAcentral. Lineage: Eukaryota; Fungi.
AACGCAUAUUGCGCCCCCUGGUAUUCCGGGGGGCACACCUGUCCGAGCGCCAUUUCGAACCUCAAGCACUGCUUGGUGUUGGGCGCGGUCCCAUGCGGACCCUCCCGCAACCCGUAGGCGGCAGCCGCCCGUGCCCCCAGCGUAGCAAGCCUUCGCACCCGCUCGGGGACGGCGCGGCGGUCGAUCCAACGAACCCAUCAAAAAAGGUUGGCCUCGGAUCAGGUGGGGAUACCCGCUGAACUUAA